Molecule: ribosomal RNA, 450 nt
Filed under: uncultured bacterium
Lineage: Bacteria
Description: bacterial SSU rRNA
Rfam family: Bacterial small subunit ribosomal RNA
Source: RNAcentral
GUGGGGAAUUUUGCGCAAUGGGCUAACGCCUGACGCAGCAACGCCGCGUGGAGGAUGAAGGUCCUUGGAUUGUAAACUCCUGUCAGCAGGGAAAAAGCAAUUUAGCCUCAUACGCUAGAAAGUUGAUUGUACCUGCAGAGGAAGCCCCGGCUAACUCUGUGCCAGCAGCCGCGGUAAUACAGAGGGGGCAAGCGUUAUUCGGAAUUAUUGGGCGUAAAGGGCGCGUAGGCGGCAUGACAAGUGGAUGGUGAAAUCCCUCGGCUUAACCGAGGAACUGCCAUCCAGACUGUUUUGCUUGAGGCCGGGAGAGGUGAGUGGAAUUCCCAGUGUAGCGGUGAAAUGCGUAGAUAUUGGGAGGAACACCAGUGGCGAAGGCGGCUCACUGGACCGGUUCUGACGCUGAGGCGCGAAAGCGUGGGGAGCAAACGGGAUUAGAUACCCCAGUAGUCC